CCUACGGGAGGCUGCAGUAGGGAAUUUUCCACAAUGGACGAAAGUCUGAUGGAGCAACGCCGCGUGCAGGAUGAAUGCCUUCGGGUUGUAAACUGCUUUUAUAUGUGACGAUUAUGACGGUAGCAUAUGAAUAAGGAUCGGCUAAUUCCGUGCCAGCAGCCGCGGUCAUACGGAAGAUCCAAGCGUUAUCCGGAAUUACUGGGCGUAAAGAGUUGCGUAGGUGGCAUAGUAAGUUGGUAGUGAAAUCCUGGGGCUCAACCCCUUACACAUUACCAAAACUGCUAAGCUAGAGGGCGAGAGAGGUAGCUAGAAUUCCUUGUGUAGGAGUGAAAUCCGUAGAUAUAAGGAGGAAUACCGAUGGCGUAGGCAGGCUACUGGCUCGUCCCUGACACUAAGGCACGAAAGCGUGGGGAGCGACCGGGAUUAGAUACCCGAGUAGU
Molecule: ribosomal RNA, 440 nt
Filed under: uncultured bacterium
Lineage: Bacteria
Description: bacterial SSU rRNA
Rfam family: Bacterial small subunit ribosomal RNA
Source: RNAcentral